UAUAACAAUGGCAUUUCCCAGCUUCGUGCUCAGUUCUGAAGUUGAAGACUCGGAAGUCUAAGCUUUGGAAAAGGUUCUCAAUCAUGUAUUGUCUUAUGAUGGUAUGCUUCUGGAGAGGAGUUGGAAUCACCAGUCACACUCAUUUAUGAGCGUUAAUGCAGGGACUAGAAAACAUGAGCUUAGACAACCUCCCUCCUCCCUCCCCGCCAACUUUGGCCAAGUUAUCAACUUCUCAACAUAUUCUUCCCAUGGGAGCAAGCUAAAAGUUAGGUACACUCGUACGUUUCAUAAGAGUGACUGAAAUUGUGGUAAGAUACUUAUAAAAUGCAUAUUUCAGAUUCUGCUUGGAAAUAAAAUGUAUAUGUCGUGUCCUCAAGGGGCAUCCCAGUGGUAAAGGCUUGGAAUCUCAAGUUCAAAUCCCAUUGGGUGGGGUAGAGGGGGGUUUAUGAAAUGGGGGAGAGCUGCACUCAUUGUGUAGCUCAUCCAAUGAAUAAAAGAAAAUGUAUAUUUUGUUAUAUAUUUAAAACUUCGAAUUCGGACCCUCAGGGCUCUCAUGUAUAAGUUUGAGUUUACAAUGCAUAGUUUGACACAGUUUGUUAUAAAAUGUUGUUUGCUG
Molecule: unclassified non-coding RNA, 616 nt
Filed under: Hevea brasiliensis (rubber tree)
Lineage: Eukaryota; Viridiplantae; Streptophyta; Magnoliopsida; Malpighiales; Euphorbiaceae
Source: RNAcentral